UGCAAGUCGAACGGCAGCAUAGAGAGCUUGCUCUCUGAUGGCGAGUGGCGAACGGGUGAGUAAUAUAUCGGAACGUGCCUAGUAAUGGGGAACAACUAAUCGAAAGAUUAGCUAAUACCGCAUACGACCUACGGGUGAAAGCAGGGGAUCUUCGGACCUUGCGUUAUUAGAGCGGCCGAUAUCUGAUUAGCUUGUUGGUAGGGUAAAAGCCUACCAAGGCGACGAUCAGUAGCUGGUCUGAGAGGACGAUCAGCCACACUGGAACUGAGACACGGUCCAGACUCCUACGGGAGGCAGCAGUGGGGAAUUUUGGACAAUGGGGGCAACCCUGAUCCAGCCAUUCCGCGUGAGUGAAGAAGGCCUUCGGGUUGUAAAGCUCUUUCGCAAGAGAAGAAAGCUUGCUAUUUAAUAAAUAGUAAGUAUGACGGUAUCUUGAUAAGAAGCACCGGCUAACUAUGUGCCAGCAGCCGCGGUAAUACAUAGGGUGCAAGCGUUAAUCGGAAUUACUGGGCGUAAAGCGUUCGCAGGCGGUCUUAUAAGUCAGAUGUGAAAUCCCCGAGCUCAACUUGGGAACUGCGUUUGAAACUGUAAGACUAGAGUGUGUCAGAGGGGGGUAGAAUUCCAUGUGUAGCGGUGAAAUGCGUAGAGAUCUGGAGGAAUACCGAUGGCGAAGGCAGCCAUCUGGCCUAAUACUGACACUGAGGUGCGAAAGCAUGGGGAGCAAACAGGAUUAGAUACCCUGGUAGUCCAUGCCGUAAACGAUGUCUACUAGCCGUUGGGGCCUUUGAGGCUUUAGUGGCGCAGCUAACGCGAUAAGUAGACCGCCUGGGGAGUACGGUCGCAAGACUAAAACUCAAAUGAAUUGACGGGGACCCGCACAA
RNAcentral lists this ribosomal RNA (881 nucleotides) under uncultured bacterium. Its description in RNAcentral is "bacterial SSU rRNA". It matches the Rfam family "Bacterial small subunit ribosomal RNA", at positions 56 to 928 of the family's 1533-position model. The record is from RNAcentral.